Molecule: long non-coding RNA, 1177 nt
Filed under: Trifolium pratense (red clover)
Lineage: Eukaryota; Viridiplantae; Streptophyta; Magnoliopsida; Fabales; Fabaceae
Description: long non-coding RNA (TPRA_LNC006916)
Source: RNAcentral
ACAUACAUAUCAAUUUAAAUGAGUUUAUGUUGUCAACUGCAACUUACUCAUUUAAACAAUAAGAAAAAAAGUUGUUGCAUAAGCAUGCCUAUAAUACACCACAAACCAAACAAAAGAUAAACGAUAAGAAAAAUUAGGAAGUUUUCAUAGGACCACUGUACCUUUACCACAUACCUUGUGAUCUUGAAUCAGAUUAGUUCCACACCCUUCAUCAAAAUCAAACACACACAGUUCAACAUUGUAGGAAAAAAAAAGAGGUAAAAAGGACAAUUACUAAUUUAGAAGGCUUGAUCAUAUACUAUAAUAUUUACAAUUGAUGCUUAGAGUAAGGGAUAUGCAAUUCCACAUAAUCAACAAAGUCACCUAAAAUGUGCACACAAGAAUGCAACAUGUACCAUUUCUUCCAAUUCAACUAAGUCACUCUCAAAUUAGAUCUUUAUCUACUAUUUGCUUUAAUCUUCCCUCUAGACUAGAUGUAACUUCUUAACCUGAAAGUUAAUUUAAAGUGAUUCAAGUUAUCACAUAUGCUUAACUAAAACCUCUAACAUUACAAUCAACACAAGAAAAAGAACAUAACUUACUUACCCUCUAGCCCAUGGAGGUAUAGAGGAAUUGGAAGUACUAGCAGCCAAUUUUAUAGCUAGUUAAUAGACAUUAACAGAUGAAAGGUUUUGCAGUUUCCUUAGAAAAAGUGGACUAAAACAAUUGUCCUAUAUACUCAUGUACUUUCUAGUUCUCCAGAAAUCGUAAAUAAACAAUAGCAUUAUAAACGAGUAGUGUCUGAUUGUGUGUCAAUGACAAAGAUGUCAUAGAUGAGGUUGAAGGUAUGAAUCAAAAGAAAAGAAUUGAAACCAACAAUAAUGUGCUAAGGUAUAACAUAACAAGAAUUAUGCACCGAUUACCAUUUAACAUUAAAACAAAAAAGAUUCAUUCUUAACCAAUAGUCCAUAUCUCAAAUAAAAAAUAGUAGUUUUUUUAUGCUAGUUCAAUCAAAAUUGAACUACAACAUCAGCUAAACCCAAAAUAGGUCUAAGCAAACCUUAAAACACUGUAAAUCAUAGAAAAAGUAAGUUCCAAUUCAGUAGAAAAUUACCUUAUCAUACAACUUAAAGCAUAUAACUAUUUUUAAUAGUUAAAACCUCAUUCAUUUAUUGUCCUCUUUACCUGUUCAGUAGCU